UAGCCGUAAACGAUACUCGCUAGGUGUCGGCCACGGUGCGACCGUUGUCGGUGCCGUAGGGAAGCCGUGAAGCGAGCCACCUGGGAAGUACGGCCGCAAGGCUGAAACUUAAAGGAUUGGCGGGGGAGCACAACAACGGGUGGAGCUUGCGGUUUAAUUGGAUUCAACGCCGGACAACUCACCGGGGACGACAGCAAUAUGUAGGCCAGGCUGAAGACCUUGCCUGAAUCGCUGAGAGGUGGUGCAUGGCGUAGACGUCU
Molecule: ribosomal RNA, 260 nt
Filed under: uncultured archaeon
Lineage: Archaea
Description: partial 16S ribosomal RNA
Rfam family: Archaeal small subunit ribosomal RNA
Source: RNAcentral